GCCUAGCUCAGUUGGCAGAGCAUGAGACUUUAAAUCUGGAGGUCAUGGGUUUGAGUCCCGCACUGGGAGAAACC
This is a non-coding RNA of Podarcis lilfordi (Lilford's wall lizard), 74 nucleotides long. NCBI's taxonomy places the organism in Eukaryota, Metazoa, Chordata, Lepidosauria, Squamata, Lacertidae. The record is from the annotation of a GenBank genome assembly.